Molecule: transfer RNA, 88 nt
Filed under: Thermoplasmata archaeon M8B2D
Lineage: Archaea; Methanobacteriati; Thermoplasmatota; Thermoplasmata
Also listed under: 2 other names
Description: tRNA-Ser
Rfam family: tRNA
About the family: Transfer RNA (tRNA) molecules are approximately 80 nucleotides in length. Their secondary structure includes four short double-helical elements and three loops (D, anti-codon, and T loops). Further hydrogen bonds mediate the characteristic L-shaped molecular structure. tRNAs have two regions of fundamental functional importance: the anti-codon, which is responsible for specific mRNA codon recognition, and the 3' end, to which the tRNAs corresponding amino acid is attached (by aminoacyl-tRNA synthetases). tRNAs cope with the degeneracy of the genetic code in two manners: having more than one tRNA (with a specific anti-codon) for a particular amino acid; and 'wobble' base-pairing, i.e. permitting non-standard base-pairing at the 3rd anti-codon position.
Source: RNAcentral
GCUGGGGUGGCCAAGCCCGGACUAAGGCGGCGGUCUCGAAAACCGCUGGUGCUUUUGCAUCACGGGGGUUCAAAUCCCUUCCCCAGCG